GGAACCGUGGUGUAGCUGGUUAACACGCCGGCCUGUCAAGCCGGAGAUCGCGGGUUCGAGUCCCGUCGGUUCCGCCA
Molecule: transfer RNA, 77 nt
Filed under: Bacillota bacterium
Lineage: Bacteria; Bacillati; Bacillota
Description: Firmicutes bacterium (anaerobic digester metagenome) tRNA-Asp
Rfam family: tRNA
About the family: Transfer RNA (tRNA) molecules are approximately 80 nucleotides in length.
Source: RNAcentral